AGGACGAACGCUGGCGGCGUGCUUAAUACAUGCAAGUCGAACGAGGUUCACUUCGGUGGGCCUAGUGGCGAACGGGUGAGUAACACGUGAGCAACCUGCCCCGAAGACCGGGAUAACAGUGGGAAACCGCUGCUAAUACCGGAUACCCCCAUUGGAUCCCAUGGUCGGAUGAGGAAAUGGAUUCCGCUUCGGGAGGGGCUCGCGGCCUAUCAGCUUGUUGGUGGGGUAACGGCCUACCAAGGCUUCGACGGGUAGCUGGUCUGAGAGGACGAUCAGCCACACUGGGACUGAGACACGGCCCAGACUCCUACGGGAGGCAGCAGUAGGGAAUCUUGCGCAAUGGGCGAAAGCCUGACGCAGCAACGCCGCGUGAGGGAUGGAGGCCUUCGGGUUGUAAACCUCUUUCAGCAGGGACGAUUGUGACGGUACCUGCAGAAGAAGCCCGGCAACUACGUGCCAGCAGCCGC
RNAcentral lists this ribosomal RNA (467 nucleotides) under uncultured bacterium. RNAcentral describes it as "SSU rRNA". It matches the Rfam family "Bacterial small subunit ribosomal RNA", at positions 26 to 518 of the family's 1533-position model. The record is from RNAcentral.